AUAGAGCCUUCCCCUUCGGGGGACAAAGUGACAGGUGGUGCAUGGUUGUCGUCAGCUCGUGUCGUGAGAUGUUGGGUUAAGUCCCGCAACGAGCGCAACCCUUAAGCUUAGUUGCCAUCAUUAAGUUGGGCACUCUAAGUUGACUGCCGGUGACAAACCGGAGGAAGGUGGGGAUGACGUCAAAUCAUCAUGCCCCUUAUGAUUUGGGCUACACACGUGCUACAAUGGACAAUACAAAGGGCAGCGAAACCGCGAGGUCAAGCAAAUCCCAUAAAGUUGUUCUCAGUUCGGAU
RNAcentral lists this ribosomal RNA (293 nucleotides) under Staphylococcus aureus. Its description in RNAcentral is "partial 16S ribosomal RNA". It matches the Rfam family "Bacterial small subunit ribosomal RNA", at positions 1006 to 1298 of the family's 1533-position model. The record is from RNAcentral. Lineage: Bacteria; Bacillati; Bacillota; Bacilli; Caryophanales; Staphylococcaceae.